This is a non-coding RNA of Pelobates cultripes (western spadefoot toad), 1250 nucleotides long. The record is from the annotation of a GenBank genome assembly. NCBI's taxonomy places the organism in Eukaryota, Metazoa, Chordata, Amphibia, Anura, Pelobatidae.
AGCACACAUAGUCCUUAACACUGUAGGGGUAUUAAUGAUACCCCUACCCCUAAUCCUUAAUACCCCUACAGUGUUAAUACUCCUACAGUGUUAAUACCCCUACCCCAGCACACAUAGUCCUUAAUACCCCUACCCCAGCACACACACUGUUAAUACUGUGCGUGCUGGGGUAGGGGUAUUAACACUGUAGGGGUAGGGGUAUUAAGGACUAGGAGUAGGGGUAUGAAGGAUUACGGGUAGAUGUAUGAAGGUUUAGGGGUAUGAAGGACUAGGGGUAUUAAGGACUAUAAGUGCCCCAAGUCCUUCACUUACUUUUUGUGAGAGAGACUUUCCAAGGGUUCUUUAAUAGCUUCAGUAGAGCAGCGACCGGUCCAUGAUGGCACCCGCAUUCCUUGACGCUCAGCACGCAAUGCCAUAGCAUAUUACAGUACUCAUUUAAUUCUAGCCAUACCAAUUCAUAAAAGCUAGGGGUGCUGUGAUUGGCUGAGAGUGUCAGCUGAAUGCUUUCAGCCAAUCACUGUCACACAUUGUUGCUUCCUUGUUAUCCCAAGCUGCACAGAGAGUUUGGACUGCUGUUAGUCAAUGAAGUAUAUUCAAAGCUUAGGCUUGUCACCAGUGGGGUACCUCAGGGAUCUAUACUUGGACCCAUUCUCUUUAAUAUUUUUUAUUAGUGAUCUUGCAGAAGGUCUUGAUGGUAAGGUAUGUAUUUUUGCUGAUGAUACUAAGAUAUGUAACAGAGUUGAUGUUCCAGGAAGGAUAAGCCAAAUGGCAAAUGAUUUAGGUAAACUAGAAAAAUGGUCAGAGUUGUGGCAACUGACAUUUAAUGUGGAUAAGUGCAAGAUAAUGCAUCCUGGACAUAAAAACCCAAGGGCUGAGUACAUAAUAUUUGAUGGAGUCCUAACCUCAACAGCUGAGGAAAGGGAUUUAGGGAUAAUUAUUUCAGAUGACUUAUAGGUAGGCAGACAAUGUAAUAGAGGAACCGGAAGUGCUAGCAGAAUGCUUGGUUGUUUAGGGAGAGGCAUUAGCAGUAGAAAGAGGGAAGUGAUCAUGCCAUUGUACAGAACACUGGUGAGACCUCACUUGGAGUAUUGUACGCAGUACUGGAGACCGUAUCUCCAGAAGAAUAUUGAUACUUUAGAGAGAGUUCAGAGAGGGGCUACUAAACUGGUUCAUGGAUUGCGGGAUAAAACUUACCAGGAAAGGUUAAAGGAUCUUAACAUGUACAGCUUGGAGGAAAGACGAGACAGGGG